CGGGUGAGUAAUGUCUGGGAAACUGCCUGAUGGAGGGGGAUAACUACUGGAAACGGUAGCUAAUACCGCAUAACGUCGUAAGACCAAAGAGGGGGACCUUCGGGCCUCUUGCCAUCAGAUGUGCCCAGAUGGGAUUAGCUAGUAGGUGGGGUAACGGCUCACCUAGGCGACGAUCCCUAGCUGGUCUGAGAGGAUGACCAGCCACACUGGGACUGAGACACGGCCCAGACUCCUACGGGAGGCAGCAGUGGGGAAUAUUGGACAAUGGGCGAAAGCCUGAUCCAGCAAUGCCGCGUGAGUGAUGAAGGCCUUAGGGUUGUAAAGCUCUUUUACCCGGGAUGAUAAUGACAGUACCGGGAGAAUAAGCUCCGGCUAACUCCGUGCCAGCAGCCGCGGUAAU
RNAcentral lists this ribosomal RNA (400 nucleotides) under uncultured bacterium. RNAcentral describes it as "bacterial SSU rRNA". It matches the Rfam family "Bacterial small subunit ribosomal RNA", at positions 103 to 524 of the family's 1533-position model. The record is from RNAcentral.